This is a long non-coding RNA of Esox lucius (northern pike), 1409 nucleotides long. Lineage: Eukaryota; Metazoa; Chordata; Actinopteri; Esociformes; Esocidae. The record is from Ensembl.
AAACACCAAGCAAAAGACCUGGGGCCCAUGGUUAAAAGGGCGGUCAAAUGUACUGAUUGGACACUCACUCAGGCGCCAAACGUAUGGUACUCACACAGCUGUAAGACGUAAAAAUGGUACACCUGCAUUGACCUGGCUAACGCUUUUUUCUGUCUCCCACCAGCAGAGGAACUUCGUGAUAUUUUUUCUUUCACACAUAGGGGCGACAAUGGCGGCCCCAACGGUGGCCGCCUGCAUCCAAGCUACAAUGACGGUCCUCACCAGACUGGCUGAGAAAGGGUUCAAGGUGUCAAAAGGAAAGCUACAGCUGAAUUCACCAACAGAGUCGGAGAACGGAGGGACCUGCACCCGCUGGACCAGAACCUGCCCCAGGCGGAGUGGGUGUUGCUGAAGGUCAUCAAGCGAAAGUGGUCGGAGCCAAGGUGGACGGGUCCUCAUCAGGUGGUGGAGAGAACGAGUCAUGCGGUCCGCCUGAGGGACAAAGGAGAGACGUGGUACCAUUGGAGCCAGUGUACACCAGCGCAGGAGCCAGGGAGGUCGCUGACGGACCUCAUCCAAACCGGAAAGGAGGAGCUUUCCCCAGCGUGGACGGAAGGAGGACCAACACCAGCCGGACCGGUGCCAGGAGCGGACCACAGGACACAGCAGGACCACGAGCGAGUGAAGGAGACAGAGGACGGCGCCAGGGGAAUAGACUCUUAGGGGAAAGAACUGAAAAAUACUGUAACUAAAGGGGGUAUAGGACACCGAGUGGCUCAUACCACUCGUACCAAGAUGACAGGGUUACAGAGAAAGGUCUGGGGAGAUGAUAGUAGAAUGAAGUAGUAUAUGGGAAUUGGUAGAAUAAUGAUAUGUGUGUUGUGUGUUGAUACAAGUUUCCCAGGUUGGCAUCGGGUCUUCAUUCCCCCAGCGAAGAGGUCAGCGACCCCACCUGAGGACACCUGCUUGAGGAAAUUUGGGGGAUUGAAUUGGACUAUGUCAAGGGGUCGCAUACGAGCAUUCUGGGAUAGAUAAUCCGCUGGAGGAAUGGCUGACCUCGAUGUUCGGCCAGUGGAAAGAGGGCUUGCCAUGAGAGUGAUUUCUACAGCCAUUGAGAAGGCUCCAGGAUCGACACCAGGGAUGCUGAUGCCUCUACUGGAGCAGCAUGACCCGGGAGAACUGGAGCUUGGCGAAUAGGGGUGAUCUCUCUGGGGAGAGAUCAAAAGGGGGAAUUGUAGAUGUAGUGAUUGUAUAAGUUAGUGAACUGUUAUAAGCUGUUGUAACCAAUGUAGAUGUAUUGAUUAUAUAAGUUAGUGAACUGUUAUAAGCUGUUGUAACCAAUGAAACAAAAUAUUAAAUGUCUGUAAUAUGAACCGAAACUGAAGGAGCAAGUAGGAGAAUAGGAAACCCUGUUUAAGCAGUUGCCGGGG